Molecule: ribosomal RNA, 468 nt
Filed under: uncultured bacterium
Lineage: Bacteria
Description: partial 16S ribosomal RNA
Rfam family: Bacterial small subunit ribosomal RNA
Source: RNAcentral
GACGAACGCUGGCGGCGUGCUUAACACAUGCAAGUCGAACGGAAAGGCCCUGCUUUUGUGGGGUGCUCGAGUGGCGAACGGGUGAGUAACACGUGAGUAACCUGCCCUUGACUUUGGGAUAACUUCAGGAAACUGGGGCUAAUACCGGAUAGGAGCUCCUGCUGCAUGGUGGGGGUUGGAAAGUUUCGGCGGUUGGGGAUGGACUCGCGGCUUAUCAGCUUGUUGGUGGGGUAGUGGCUUACCAAGGCUUUGACGGGUAGCCGGCCUGAGAGGGUGACCGGCCACAUGGGGACUGAGAUACGGCCCAGACUCCUACGGUAGGCAGCAGUGGGGAAUAUUGCACAAUGGGCGGAAGCCUGAUGCAGCAACGUCGCGUGCGGGAUGACGGCCUUCGGGUUGUAAACCGCUUUCGCCUGUGACGAAGCGUGAGUGACGGUAAUGGGUAAAGAAGCACCGGCUAACUACGUG